GUUUAGGAAUUCGCGGCCUAUCAGCUUGUUGGUGGGGUAAUGGCCUACCAAGGCGACGACGGGUAGCCGGCCUGAGAGGGUGACCGGCCACACUGGGACUGAGACACGGCCCAGACUCCUACGGGAGGCUGCAGUGGGGAAUAUUGCACAAUGGGCGCAAGCCUGAUGCAGCGACGCCGCGUGAGGGAUGACGGCCUUCGGGUUGUAAACCUCUUUCAGCAGGGAAGAAGCGGAAGUGACGGUACCUGCAGAAGAAGCGCCGGCUAACUACGUGCCAGCAGCCGCGGUAAUACGUAGGGCGCAAGCGUUGUCCGGAAUUAUUGGGCGUAAAGAGCUCGUAGGCGGUUUGUCGCGUCUGCUGUGAAAGCCCGGGGCUCAACCCCGGGUCUGCAGUGGGUACGGGCAGACUGGAGUGCAGUAGGGGAGACUGGAAUUCCUGGUGUAGCGGUGAAAUGCGCAGAUAUCAGGAGGAACACCGAUGGCGAAGGCAGGUCUCUGGGCUGUAACUGACGCUGAGGAGCGAAAGCAUGGGGAGCGAACAGGAUUAGAUACCCUGGUAGUCCAUGCCGUAAACGUUGGGCACUAGGUGUGGGGGACAUUCCACGUUUUCCGCCCCGUAGCUAACGCAUUAAGUGCCCCGCCUGGGGAGUACGGAAU
RNAcentral lists this ribosomal RNA (657 nucleotides) under uncultured Actinomycetes bacterium. Its description in RNAcentral is "bacterial SSU rRNA". It matches the Rfam family "Bacterial small subunit ribosomal RNA", at positions 221 to 888 of the family's 1533-position model. Lineage: Bacteria; Bacillati; Actinomycetota; Actinomycetes. The record is from RNAcentral.